AACGAACGCUGGCGGCGUGCCUAACACAUGCAAGUCGAACGCGAAAACAGUAAUGUUGAGUAGAGUGGCGCACGGGUGAGUAACACGUAACUGACAUGUCCUAGAGACAGGAAUAACCGUUCGAAAGGAUGGCUAAUACCUGGUAAGCCCACGAUGUUUGGCAUUGAGGGAAAAGGAUCGGGACCUUUCGAGGCCGGUCGCUUUAGGAGUGGGUUGCGGCCCAUCAGCUAGUUGGCGGGAAAGACC
RNAcentral lists this ribosomal RNA (246 nucleotides) under uncultured bacterium. RNAcentral describes it as "partial 16S ribosomal RNA". It matches the Rfam family "Bacterial small subunit ribosomal RNA", at positions 29 to 265 of the family's 1533-position model. The record is from RNAcentral.